This 260-nucleotide long non-coding RNA is filed under the name Elaeis guineensis (African oil palm). RNAcentral describes it as "long non-coding RNA (EGUI_LNC007775)". The record is from RNAcentral. Lineage: Eukaryota; Viridiplantae; Streptophyta; Magnoliopsida; Arecales; Arecaceae.
CUAUACUGAAUUCAUGAGGAUUAUGGUUGGCGAUGGAUUGGGAUUGUAUCUUUCAUGAAGAGAAUGAUUUAUCUUCUUUCGUGCAAAUCUAUCAUUGGAUCAUCCACUGAUUGCUUUGAGAUAUGUGCUAGUUGAUGAAUAAUAGAGUUGGAACUAUUUUGAGAUUUGUGUGAUGUAUGAUCCAAUGAUAGAUUUAUAUGAAAGAAAAUAACUUCUUUCACAUGAACCAAUGUCCGAGCAAAAAGGAUACAAUCAUCCAC